GACGAACGCUGGCGGCGUGCUUAACACAUGCAAGUCGAACGAAGAGCGAUGGAAGCUUGCUUCUAUCAAUCUUAGUGGCGAACGGGUGAGUAACGCGUAAUCAACCUGCCCUUCAGAGGGGGACAACAGUUGGAAACGACUGCUAAUACCGCAUACGAUCUAAUCUCGGCAUCGAGGAUAGAUGAAAGGUGGCCUCUACAUGUAAGCUAUCACUGAAGGAGGGGAUUGCGUCUGAUUAGCUAGUUGGAGGGGUAACGGCCCACCAAGGCGAUGAUCAGUAGCCGGUCUGAGAGGAUGAACGGCCACAUUGGGACUGAGACACGGCCCAGACUCCUACGGGAGGCAGCAGUGGGGAAUCUUCCGCAAUGGACGAAAGUCUGACGGAGCAACGCCGCGUGAGUGAUGACGGCCUUCGGGUUGUAAAGCUCUGUUAAUCGGGACGAAAGGCCUUCUUGCGAAUAGUUAGAAGGAU
Molecule: ribosomal RNA, 472 nt
Filed under: Veillonella parvula
Lineage: Bacteria; Bacillati; Bacillota; Negativicutes; Veillonellales; Veillonellaceae
Description: bacterial SSU rRNA
Rfam family: Bacterial small subunit ribosomal RNA
Source: RNAcentral